Molecule: long non-coding RNA, 295 nt
Organism: Mytilus trossulus (common blue mussel)
Lineage: Eukaryota; Metazoa; Mollusca; Bivalvia; Mytilida; Mytilidae
Exons: 3
Source: RefSeq, a predicted model, not a curated record
AGGUUUGCAUAUCAGUAGUCAAAGUGAAUUAGACAUACUUCUGAGACAGAGUUGUGUGUGUUUUUUUAUAGAAUUAGAAGGUUUGAAUAUCAGUAGUCAAAGUGAAUUAGACAUACUUCUGAGACAGAGUUGUGUGUGAUUUUUUAUAGAAUUAGAAGUAGGAACAGCAAAAAGUCUGGUGUUGUUCAUUGGUGUCAUAGUUUUCUAGGAAGGCAUUGGUUUAACCUAUCCAGUCACUAAGAAGUGUAACAAUUAAAUGCUGAAACGAGAAAUGGAAACUACAUAUUAUAUACAU